Capsicum annuum is the source of this 595-nucleotide long non-coding RNA. RefSeq lists it as uncharacterized. The transcript is spliced from 4 exons. The record is from RefSeq and is a predicted model, not a curated record. Lineage: Eukaryota; Viridiplantae; Streptophyta; Magnoliopsida; Solanales; Solanaceae.
UUCUUUUCCAAAUUUUUAUUUCUGUGAUAGGAAAACCAUAGAGUUAAAAGAACUUUUGGAGCAAUCAUUAAUCUCUCUAUUUCCCACUAUAAGGUUUAAGCACUUCAGAUACAACAACUAAGCGAAUUGACAGCCAAGUUGUCUAUGAACUUCCUCAUUGUUUGAAAAACAUUAGCUAAAUCAGAUGAUUUUUGGAAAAGCACCAAUCAAACAGUUGACAGGAAUAAUAUGAAGUUUGAGACAUUUUGAGGGAAAUUUGCUUGGGUGAUAGUAGAUGCUUGCAAGAGUAUUGAGGAGGCAAUGGACUGUGAGACUAAUGAUUAUAGAUGUCUACCUCAUGAGGUUAUAUGCCAUAGCGCGAGGGAUGAAGUUGAAAGGAUUCGGAAGUAGAUGAAGAUUAAGAAAUUAUAAAGCAUGAGUCACUCGAAAUGUUGACCAAAUCUACUUGAUUUGGAAGAAUAAGAACUUGCAAUGCUCUAAUUUGACUUGCCUUUAUGUUAUAAUAGGAACGUAGCGAGAAAUUAUUGAACUUUGUAUAUAAACACUGUCUUAGCUAUGAUUAUAUAUCUGUUAAUAAAAUUUUUAUAUUUUGUGC